This 3616-nucleotide ribosomal RNA is filed under the name Minisyncoccota bacterium. RNAcentral's name for it is "23S ribosomal RNA". It matches the Rfam family "Bacterial large subunit ribosomal RNA". Lineage: Bacteria; Bacillati; Minisyncoccota. The record is from RNAcentral.
GACGGGAGUGCUAAGGGCGUAUGGUGGAUGCCUAGGCUUCUAAUAGCGAUGAAAGACGUGGUAAAGCUGCGAUAAGCUUCGGGGAGGUGCCUGUCAACCUUUGAUCCGGAGAUUUCUGAAUGGGGAAACCUGACCUUUUAUAGGUCGUUACGAGCUUGACUUGUAAUGCUUACCCAGGGAAGUGAAACAUCUCAGUACCUGGAGGAAUAGAAAAAAAUAUUGAUUCCCUUAAUAGCGGCGAGCGAAAAGGGAGGAGCCCAAACCAAAUGUGCUUGCAUGUUUGGGGUUGUAAGACAAACACUUCUUAACGAGGAGAGUUACAAAAUCAAAUUUUAGUAGAAACAACUGGAAAGUUGUACCCCAGAGGGUAAUGGUCCCGUAUACGAAAAAAUUUGAUCUCUCUUGUGUUUGCUCUUGAGUAACUCGAGACACGAAUAGCUCGAGCGAAUCCGCCAGUACUAACUGGCAAGGCUAAAUAUAUUAGAAGACCGAUAGUGAACUAGUACCGUGAGGGAAAGGUGAAAAGUAGCCCGACAAGGGCGUUGAAAUAGACCUGAAACCAUAUGCCUACAAGGAAUCGGAGCGGACUUGAUCCGUGACGGUGUGCCUAUUGAAGAAUGAGCCAACGAGUUUAUAUGUACUGCAAGCUAAGGCCUUAGUCGGCUGGAGCUGUAGGGAAACCGAGUGUUAAUAGCGCGUUAGUAGUACGUAUAAGACCCGAAACCAAGCGAGCUUGCUAUGAGCAGGGUGAAGUUUAUGGAAACAUAAAUGGAGGCCCGAACCGGUAGGUAGUUCAACUCCUUCGGAUGACUUGUGGUAGGAAGUGAAAAGCUAAUCGAGCUUGGUAAUAGCUGGUUCUCUCCGAAACAGCUUUUGGGUUGGCGUCAUGUGUUCCUUCUGGGGGUAGAGCACUGGAAGGUCUAAACAGGGAGCAAUCUCGUUAGACCUAUCAAACUCCGAAUACCAGAAAUUAAAAGCAUGGCAGUUAGACUACGGGGGCUAAGCUCCGUCGGUCAAAAGGGAAACAGCCCAGAUCUCCGUUUAAGGUCCCAAAAUAUAUACUAAGUGCAAGAAAGGUUGUGAUAUUUCAGAGACACCGAGGAGGUUGGCUUAGAAGCAGCCAUCCUUUAAAGAUAGCGUAACAGCUCACUCGCUCAGAGAUAACGCGCCACAAAUGAUCGGGGCUAAGUAUAUUACCGAAAACGAGGACUUGUAGAUUCUUCGGAGUCUAUGAGUGGUAGGAGAGUAUUCCACUCUGCGUUGAAGCGAAAGGGGUGACCCAUCGUGGAGCGUGUGGAAGUAAGAAUGUUGGCACAAGUAACCGCAAUGCAGGUGAGAUUCCUGCACGCCGAAAGACUAAGGUUUCCUUUUCAAUGUUAAUCAGAGAAGGGUUAGUCGGGCCUAAGGAGAUGACGAAAGUCGAAUCCGAUGGACAAAUGGUUAAUAUUCCAUUACCUCAUUAUGUUCCGAUGGAGGGACGGAGGACACAAGUUUGAACGUAUUAUUGGAUUUACGUUGCUAGCAUUAGAGUUAUUGGGUAGGCAAAUCCGCCCAUGUUGGACUCGGUGUCGGCUGAAUGGUGGCUUCGGCCAUCAAAUUAAGCGAAGAGCCUUCCAAGAAAAGCUUCUAAGGAUAAACAUAAUGAGACCGUACCGCAAACCGACACAGGUAGUCAGGUCGAGAAGACCAAGGCGAACGAGUGAGGGGUCCCCAAGGAACUCGGCAAAACAGCGACCGUACCCUAGGUAUAAGGUCUGCCCACGCAAGUGGGCCGCAGCUAAAGAUUCCUGGCGACUGUUUAUCAAAAACACAGCUCCCUGCUAACUCGUAAGAGGAUGUAUAGGGGGUGACGCCUGACCAAUGCCGGAAGGUUAAAUAUUGGCGGUGCUAAACACUGUGCGCAUGAUUCAUAAAUAUGAAUCAUAAUCGUGCGUAGAGUGUUUAGUGCUGACCGAUAUAAGCCCCGGUGAAUGUCGGCCGUAACUAUAACGGUCCUAAGGUUGGUGACAUAAUUUAUUGUGUUACCAAGAAUUGGGGCUGUUAUAAGGAAGUUUGAUAAUCAUUCAAUAAAAGUAGAAGAGUAAAACGAGACAAAAACAGUAAGUUAAGGAAAAGUAACUGCCUUAAAUUUGGCCGUAUGCUGGAAAAUCCGAGUAUAUUCAAAUACUAAAGUUUAAAUACUGAGUGAAAAUUUUGAAUUGCGGACAAUCAGCAGGAAAGACUAAGAAAUAUGCAAGUGUUUUUUAGAAUCCUCAGAGACUAAACGCCAAAUACUUUAGUAAUCAUUAAAGUAAAUUAUAGUCCGUUCUGUAUAGCGAUAUGCAGUUAACAUAUAGAGCGAAAUUCCUUGUCUGGUAAGUUCAGACGCGCACGAAUGGCGUAACGACUGGGAAACUGUCUCGGGGACUUGCUCGGUGAAAAUGCGAUGCCGGUGAAGAUGCCGGCUACCUACAGCAGGACAGAAAGACCCCAGGAGCUUUACUGCAGCUUGAUAUUGGGUGCAUGUUCUCUCUGCGCAGAAUAGAUGGGAGACUUUGAAGCAAUGAUUUUGGUUAUUGUGGAGUCGACAGUGAAAUACCAUCCUUUGAGAAUAUGUAGUCUAACCUCGACGGUAAAAACGGUGAGGAACAGUAUCUGGUGGGUAGUUUUAGUGGGGCGCUACCCUCCUAAAUUGUAACGGAGGGGCCUAAAGGUUCUCUAGGCGCGAAUGGAAACCGUGCCGAUAGUGUAAUGGCAUAAGAGAGCUUAACUGCAAGGCGUACAUGCCAAGCAGACACGAAAGUGGAGCAUAGCGAUCCGACCUUUCGCUUUAGAUGCGGAGGAAGCUCAACGGAUAAAAGUUACCCUGGGGAUAACAGGCUGGUACCGCCUAAGCGUCCAUAGCGACGGCGGUGUUCGGCACCUCGAUGUCGGCUCACCUUAUCCUGGGGCUGAAGAAGGUCCCAAGGGUUUGGCUGUUCGCCAAUUAAAAAGGUACGCGAGCUGGGUUCAGACCGUUCACACUUGAAGUGUGAAUGUGUUAUGACCAAGCGUUAGAACAUAUAGAAACAAAAAACUUGAAGUGUGAAUCAAUCUGAAUCCCUUCGAGGGUUAUCGAGAAUAAUUAUUUUUGUCUUUCUGUCCCAAAAUAUAGAACCAACAUCACGGCGGUUUUGUGUAGUGAUACACAAGAAUUAGUUGACUGAUAUCGGGAAAAUCCUAUCGCUAUUAAGCGAGGACGAUUCCGAGGGAAACAUAUCAAUAUGUACCCGUAGAGACUACAUGUCAGCCUUCCUUAGGGAAGAAAGUAUAGUCCAAUCCAUCUAGUAAUAGAUGAGCAAGGUGCGUGAGACAGGUUGGUUCUCUAUCCGCUGUAGGCGUUGAUUUUUGAGAGGAGCUGCUCCUAGUACGAGAGGACCGGAGUGGACUGACCUCUGGUGUACCGGCUGUCAUGCCAAUGGCAUCGUCGGGUAGCUAUGUCGGGAAGGGAUAACUGCUGAAAGCAUCUAAGCAGGAAGCCUACCUCAAGAUUAGAAAUCAUUUGAGAGCCCUAAGAGAUUAUUAGGUUGAUAGGCACCAAGUAUAAGCGUGGCAACACGUUCAGCUGAGGUGUACUAAUUGCUCGAACUCCCGUUAG